GUCGCCGCAGCGAUCAUGGCAACUUCUUGCAAUUACGGUCGUACCAACCGUACUGGCAAGGUUACAGGGCCUAAAUUUAUACAGGUUUUGUCAUGAGGGCUACCCAGUGAAUUAUCUGUGCAGUGUGAUACGGCUGGGUGUACAGGUUACUUCACAGCUGCCUCAACAUACUCAAGAAAUGGGUGCAGAACCUGCGUAAUGCCCACAAACUUUGACUACCACAGCACCUCCAUAAAGUAAAGGCAUGUGUGUCACAUGGGAUUUUUAAAGGCAUUCACAGUAUAUAA
Molecule: long non-coding RNA, 287 nt
Organism: Ornithodoros turicata
Lineage: Eukaryota; Metazoa; Arthropoda; Arachnida; Ixodida; Argasidae
Exons: 3
Source: RefSeq, a predicted model, not a curated record